RNAcentral lists this transfer RNA (76 nucleotides) under Gammaproteobacteria bacterium. RNAcentral's name for it is "tRNA-Ala". It matches the Rfam family "tRNA". Rfam says of the family: Transfer RNA (tRNA) molecules are approximately 80 nucleotides in length. Their secondary structure includes four short double-helical elements and three loops (D, anti-codon, and T loops). The record is from RNAcentral. RNAcentral also lists the same sequence under 1 other name. Lineage: Bacteria; Pseudomonadati; Pseudomonadota; Gammaproteobacteria.
GGGGCUAUAGCUCAGUUGGUAGAGCGCAACACUGGCAGUGUUGAAGUCGGCGGUUCGAAUCCGCCUAGCUCCACCA